CAUGGCCUUCUUUUAGAUCAAAAAUUGACGUUGAAAGUUGGUUUUUGCUUGUUUCGUCGGAUUUGGUCCAAAUUUUGCCCUAAACUCAGCAAUGGUCUUUGUUUUGUCUUUAUGAUUUGGUUCCAAUAUAGCCCCAAAAUCUAUGUUUAAUAUUAGGUUUUGUUUGGUCCAUCUGAUUUGGUCCAAAUUUAGGCCAAAAUAAAUGUUGAAAUAACAGUGAAAUUCUGCGUGACUUCUACGUGCUGUAAUGGGCGCGCGCGCUGAACUGGAGCGGAGGACGUCACCAUGGAAACGAGGCGGCAGCCCAACCGUCAAGCAGCUGAACGCUGACUCUCAAUGUGGUUUUCACUAUUGUUUUUUAGAAAUGGUUUAGUGUCGUCAGAAAAAGUCCGUUAGCAUCUCCACUGUAAGGCUAACUACAAGAGGUUCUUCCAUGCUGAUGGCUGUGCUCUAGAGUCAUAUCUCCUGUCGAAGAACAUCUUUUAGACAUUAUGAACCAUGAAAAAGUUUAGCUCCAACCCCAGUUAAGCAGCUGAUCAAGGAUCACCAGAAAAACUCUGCAGAAC
Long non-coding RNA from Cyprinus carpio (common carp), 566 nucleotides. RefSeq lists it as uncharacterized. The transcript has 4 exons. The record is from RefSeq and is a predicted model, not a curated record. Lineage: Eukaryota; Metazoa; Chordata; Actinopteri; Cypriniformes; Cyprinidae.